AACGAACGCUGGCGGCAUGCCUAACACAUGCAAGUCGAACGAGACCUUCGGGUCUAGUGGCGCACGGGUGCGUAACGCGUGGGAACCUGCCCGUAGGUUCGGAAUAACUCCCCGAAAGGGGUGCUAAUACCGGAUAAUGUCUUCGGACCAAAGAUUUAUCGCCUUUGGAUGGGCCCGCGUUGGAUUAGCUAGUUGGUAGGGUAAAAGCCUACCAAGGCGACGAUCCAUAGCUGGUCUGAGAGGAUGAUCAGCCACACUGGGACUGAGACACGGCCCAGACUCCUACGGGAGGCAGCAGUGGGGAGUAUUGGACGAUGGGCGAAAGCCUGAUCCAGCAGUGCCGCGUGAGUGAUGAAGGCCUUAGGAUUGUAAAGCUCUUUUACCCGAGAUGAUAAUGACAGUACCGGGAGAAUAAGCACCGGCUAACUCCGUG
This 433-nucleotide ribosomal RNA is filed under the name uncultured bacterium. Its description in RNAcentral is "partial 16S ribosomal RNA". It matches the Rfam family "Bacterial small subunit ribosomal RNA", at positions 29 to 507 of the family's 1533-position model. The record is from RNAcentral.